CCCCGCCCCGGCCCCAUCUCACCGCUCACUGCUCCGCUGUGCCGCGGCCGCCCGUCCCCAGCGAGCGGCUGCGAUCCGGGAUCCCUGGAGCAUCCUGCAGCCAUGGACGGGGCCAAGCACCACCACGGCGACCAUGCCAAGAAGCACAAGGACGGACACUCCUCUGACUCCAGCUCCAGCUCCAGCUCCAGUAAUGGGGAGAAGGCAAG
Long non-coding RNA from Rhea pennata, 209 nucleotides. RefSeq lists it as uncharacterized. Lineage: Eukaryota; Metazoa; Chordata; Aves; Rheiformes; Rheidae. The record is from RefSeq and is a predicted model, not a curated record. The transcript has 3 exons.